GUGAAUCAUCAAAUCUUUGAACGCAAAUUGCACUUUCUGGUAUUCCGGAAAGUAUGCCUGUUUGAGGGUCAGUUAAAUAAAAAUCGGUGUUGUUGCUGCCUUUCGUUGUGACGCGUCGGAUUUGAGUCGUCUUCCCUUCGGUUAAGCUUCUUAAAAUUUUUUCAUGAUUUUCGCAUGUAUUUAUAUCAUUUACAUACGUUUGAGCUAUCGAAUGCUUGUUAUGUUCG
RNAcentral lists this unclassified non-coding RNA (227 nucleotides) under Glomeraceae sp. RNAcentral describes it as "partial contains 5.8S ribosomal RNA and internal transcribed spacer 2". The stretch from base 1 to 71 matches the Rfam family "5.8S ribosomal RNA", at positions 84 to 154 of the family's 154-position model. Lineage: Eukaryota; Fungi; Glomeromycota; Glomeromycetes; Glomerales; Glomeraceae. The record is from RNAcentral.